RNAcentral lists this long non-coding RNA (395 nucleotides) under Eucalyptus grandis. Its description in RNAcentral is "long non-coding RNA (EGRA_LNC000049)". Lineage: Eukaryota; Viridiplantae; Streptophyta; Magnoliopsida; Myrtales; Myrtaceae. The record is from RNAcentral.
GAAGAUUGGCUUUUUUAUCGACACCUCCUCAAACCUGGACUCUUUUUCACAGGCAACUCCUACCCCAAGUUCCAUUGCAUUACAGUGGCUGCUUCAUUCCCAUCUCAAACUGGUGAAAAGAUUGGAUUUUUAAUCUUUUUGAGAUGCACCCAAUAGAAGAUUGGCCUUUUUACAGUCACUCCAAUGCCAAGUUCCCAUUACAUUGCAGUGGCUGCUGGUUCAUUCCCAGCGCAACUGGGAAAAGAUUGGAUUUUUAAUCCUUUUUAGAUGCACCCAAUAGAAGAUUCAUUCCCAUCUCAACUGGUGAAAGAUUGAAUUUUUAAUCUUUUUGAGAUGGACCCUAUAGAAGAUUCAUUAAACUUUCAACAACCAAAAGCCAGACCAGAACACCCUUU